RNAcentral lists this transfer RNA (71 nucleotides) under Marmota monax (woodchuck). Its description in RNAcentral is "tRNA.Ala". Lineage: Eukaryota; Metazoa; Chordata; Mammalia; Rodentia; Sciuridae. The record is from RNAcentral.
GGGAUAUAGCUCAAUGGUAGAGUGCUUGUGUAGCAUGCAUGAAGCCUUGUGUUCAAUCCCUAGUACCACCA